RNAcentral lists this small RNA (536 nucleotides) under Pan troglodytes (chimpanzee). RNAcentral describes it as "processed transcript". Lineage: Eukaryota; Metazoa; Chordata; Mammalia; Primates; Hominidae. The record is from RNAcentral.
AGAUGGAGGUCAAGCAGAAGGGGCAGAGGAUGAACUGGAAAUCCGGGCAUCAAAGAAAGGUCUAUGCAUAUGAGAGAAAAAAUACCUAGGGAAGGAGAAAAAGGAGAAGAAACAGACAAGAGAGAAAGGAGAAAGAGCUGGGAGCAGGGAAGGAAUAGAAGGCCAGCAGGCCAGUGCUGAGAAUGCUGGGCAGACCCCCUGCCAGGGCCUGAAAUGCUGCCACUGGUGACUCAACCUUUUGUCUUCAAAACUGCAAGGGAGAAAAAAAAUCUCAUACUAGGGGGCACCACAGCUUUUAUCAGCAAUCCCAUUAGAGGCUAAGACUGAGAGGCAUGAGACUGCAAGUUCAACGCCCCCUUUGAUGUUGGAAUCAAGCUGUCAGGGGUUCAGUACCAGCAGCACAGCCAGGCCCUGGGGAAGUUUCUUCAGGACAUCCUCUGGGAAGAGGCCAAAGAGGCCCCAGCUGACAAGUGAUCGCCCACAAGCCUUACUCACCUCUCUCUAAGUUUAGAAGCGCUCAUCUGGCUUUUCGCUUG